GUUCCCGCAGCAGUCGGCCCGCCCAGGCGCGGGGGCGGGCGCGGGGGCGGGGGCGGCCGGCCCCCUGCUGCUGCUGGGGCUCACCGAGCGCCGCAAGAGGCUCAGGCCCAGUAUGUCCCAGGGCACAGUGAUGGUUCAGCCUCGGUUUCAAGAGAAGGACUUUACUGUUGCAACACCAGAAGAAUUUGUUAGGAGGUUUGGUGGCACGAAAGUCAUCAACAAAGUGCUGAUAGCAAACAAUGGAAUCGCAGCUGUGAAAUGCAUGAGAUCUGUACGACGUUGGUCUUACGAGAUGUUUAAAAAUGAACGUGCUGUCCGCUUUGUAGUGAUGGUGACACCGGAGGACCUUAAAGCGAAUGCUGAGUACAUAAAAAUGGCAGACCACUAUGUACCUGUACCUGGAGGUACUAACAACAACAAUUAUGCAAAUGUUGAGCUGAUUGUUGACAUAGCUAUGCGAACACAAGUUCAGGCUGUUUGGGCAGGGUGGGGUCAUGCCUCAGAGAAUCCAAAGCUUCCAGAGCUGCUGCACAAACACAACAUAACCUUCAUAGGUCCACCAGAGAAGGCAAUGUGGGCACUGGGUGACAAAAUAGCCUCUAGUAUUGUUGCUCAGACUGCAGACAUUCCAACACUUGCAUGGUCUGGAAGUGAGCUGAAAGCACAAUAUGGUGGAAAGAAGAUAAAAAUCUCAUCAGAACUGUAUAAGAAAGGUUGUGUAAGUACAAUAGAAGAUGGGUUACAGGCAGCUCAGAGGAUUGGAUUUCCUGUUAUGAUAAAAGCAAGUGAAGGAGGUGGCGGCAAAGGAAUCCGUAAAGCAGAAAAUACUGAAGAGUUUCCAAAUCUUUUUAGACAGGUACAAGCUGAAGUUCCAGGAUCACCAAUUUUUAUUAUGAAGCUGGCUCGAUGUGCACGGCAUUUGGAAGUUCAGCUUCUGGCUGAUCAGUACGGCAAUGCAAUCUCUCUUUUUGGUCGAGACUGCUCCAUACAGAGGCGUCACCAAAAGAUUAUUGAAGAGGCUCCUGCUGUCAUUGCCAAACCUGAAGUGUUUGAGGAUAUGGAAAAGGCAGCUGUCCGACUUGCAAAAAUGGUGGGCUACGUAAGUGCAGGAACUGUGGAAUAUCUUUAUGACAUAAACGGCAAUUACUACUUCUUAGAACUGAACCCUAGGCUGCAGGUUGAGCACCCAUGUACAGAAAUGGUGGCAGAUGUGAAUCUUCCUGCAGCUCAGUUACAGAUUGCUAUGGGUUUGCCAUUAGACCGGAUCAAAGACAUUCGUCUUUUAUAUGGCGAGUCACCAUGGGGCGAUUCACCUAUUGAUUUUGAUAAUCCACGGCACAAGCCCCAGCCCUGGGGACAUGUAAUUGCUGCUCGGAUAACUAGUGAAAAUCCUGAUGAAGGCUUCAAACCAAGUUCUGGCACAGUACAAGAACUUAACUUCAGAUCAUCAAAAAAUGUCUGGGGCUACUUCAGUGUGGCUGCAUCUGGUGGUUUACAUGAAUUUGCAGACUCUCAGUUUGGACAUUGCUUCUCAUGGGGUGAAAAUAGAGAGCAAGCCAGGGAGAAUCUUGUGAUAGCUUUAAAGGAACUCUCAAUCAGGGGUGACUUCCGUACAACAGUUGAGUAUCUCAUCAAGCUGCUAGAGACAUCAAGCUUCCAGAACAAUACUAUAGACACUUCAUGGCUAGAUAUUCUCAUUGCAGAGCGAAUCCAGGCAGAAAAGCCUGAUAUUUUGCUAGGUGUAAUUUGUGGUGCUCUUCAUAUAGCUGACCGAGCGCUCAUCACUGCAUUUCAGAACUUCCAGACGUCUUUGGAGAAGGGGCAAGUUCAAGGAUCUAAUACUCUGUUCAACACAGUUGAUGUUGAAUUAAUAAAUGAAGGGUACAAAUACAAGGUACAAGCCACCAAAUCUGGACCAAACAAUUAUUUUAUUGUAUUGAAUGGCUCCUUUAAGGAAAUAGAAGUCCAUAGGCUUUCUGAUGGAGGCAUCUUGCUUUCAAUUGAUGGUUCAAGUUACACAACAUACAUGCGCGAAGAAGUUGAUCGCUAUCGCAUUGUUAUUGGAAACCAAACGUGCAUUUUUGAAAAGGAGAAAGACCCUUCCCUUCUGCGUUCACCGUCACCAGGCAAACUUCUGUCUUUUCUUGUAGAAGACGGAGGACAUGUGGACAGAGGACAAGCGUAUGCUGAAAUAGAGGUCAUGAAAAUGGUGAUGACACUCACAGCAAGUGAAGCUGGCUGUGUGUUUUAUGUGAAACGACCUGGCGCCCUUCUUGAACUUGGGACACUGAUUGCUCACCUUGAACUCGAUGAUGCCUCCCUUGUUACAAAGGCACAGGAAUACAGAGGUGGUUUUCCAGAUAAUGACAGUUCAGCUCCUGGUGUCGCAGAAAAGCUGAAUCACCUACACAAUAAAUACAGAGUAACACUUGAGAAUAUAUUAGCUGGUUACUGUCUUCCUGAUCCAUAUCACUUAGCUCGAUUAAGAGAUGUGAUAGAGAAGUUCAUGAGUUCUCUCCGUGACCCUAGCCUUCCUCUGCUUGAGCUCCAAGAGGUGAUUGCUUCAAUUUCUGGGCGUAUCCCUAUUUCAGUUGAAAAAAAGAUUCGAAAACUGAUGACCUUAUAUGAAAGGAACAUUACUUCAGUAUUAGCUCAGUUUCCAAGCCAGCAAAUAGCUGGUGUUAUUGAUGGACAUGCAGCAACACUGCAGAAGCGCUCAGAUCGUGAUGUGUUCUUUAUGACAACACAAGGAAUUGUUCAGCUUGUCCAGAGGUAUCGAAAUGGCAUAAGAGGGCGUAUGAAAGCUGCUGUCCAUGAACUUCUGCGUCAAUAUUAUGCCGUUGAGAGCCAGUUCCAGCAAGGAAGCUAUGACAAAUGUGUGACAGCCCUACGUGAUAAACACAAAGAUGACAUGGCUGCCGUUACUGCAACCAUCUUUUCACAUUCACAGGUAGCUAAGAAGAAUAUGCUUGUAACUAUGCUAAUAGAUCAUUUAUGGUCAAAUGAACCGGGUCUCACAGAUGAAUUAGCAACUACAUUGAAUGAAUUGACUUCACUGAACCGUAGCGAGCACUCUAGAGUUGCCCUAAGAGCAAGACAAGUGUUAAUAGCUGCUCACCAGCCAGCUUAUGAACUGCGGCACAAUCAAAUGGAAUCAAUUUUUCUGUCUGCAGUUGACAUGUAUGGCCACGAUUUUCAUCCUGAAAACUUGCAGAAACUCAUCAUGUCUGAAACAUCCAUCUUUGAUAUCUUGCACGAUUUCUUUUUCCAUACCAAUAAAGCAGUGUGCAAUGCAUCUCUAGAGGUUUAUGUUCGCAGAGCCUACAUAUCCUAUGAAGUGACAUCACUGCAACUGUUAGAGCUUUCUGAUGAGAUCAGUUUAGUACACUUUCAGUUCCUGCUACCAUCCUCUCAUCCCAACAGGAUUGCAAGAUACACUACAGAAGCACAGGAUGUUGAACUGUCUGCUGUUGCUCCAACUGCAACCUGGCAGCGAACUGGUUGCAUGGCUGCAUUUGAGACUUUUGAGCAAUUUGAACAACAUGCAGAUGAGAUGUUAGAUUUAAUUGAAGACUUUGCUUCACCAGCUACUGUCUCUGCGAGAGUGCUGGAUGCACUUGAAAGUGGUGGCAGUGAGUCGCGUGUGUCUACCAGCAUAAACAUCAGCAUGUCUCUUGGAGACAAUAGGGCAAAUAGUCAAGAUCUAGAAGACAGGCUGGUGGAGCCAAUUCAUAUAAUUAAUGUUGGAGUUAAGGAUAGAGGAGACACAGAUGAUGCAACAUUGAGCAGAAGAUUUGGAGACUUUUGUGCCAGACACAUAGACGAGCUCAAACGAAGAGGGAUCCGUCGAAUAACAUUCCUUGUGCUCAUCAGGCGCCAGUUUCCUAAGUUCUUCACUUACCGGUAUCGUGAUAACUAUUCAGAAGAUCGCAUUUAUCGACAUUUAGAGCCCGCCAUGGCAUUCCAAUUAGAACUCAACAGAAUGCGUACCUAUGACUUGGAAGCCCUUCCUACGUCAAAUCAAAGGAUGCAUCUGUAUCUUGGAAAGGCAAAGGUGGCUAAAGGGCAAGAGGUGACAGAUUAUCGCUUUUUCAUUCGCUGCAUCAUUAGACAUUCAGAUCUCAUCACAAAGGAAGCAUCUUUUGAGUAUUUACAAAAUGAAGCAGAACGUGUUCUGUUGGAGGCUAUGGAUGAGCUAGAGGUUGCCUUCUCCCAUCCAGAUUCACGACGAACAGACUGCAACCAUAUAUUCCUCAAUUUUGUGCCUACUGUCAUCAUGGAUCCUGUGAAGAUUGAGGAGGCUGUAACAGAUAUGGUGAAGCGUUAUGGUCCCCGUCUUUGGAAGCUGCGAGUACUGCAGGCUGAGCUUAAAAUGUUAAUUCGUCAGACACCAAAUUCACCUACAACAAGUGUGCGACUUUGCUUAGCAAAUGACAGUGGUUAUUCAUUGGAUCUAUGGUUAUAUCGAGAAGUCACAGACCCUAAAACAGGUGUUAUAAAAUUUGAGUCAUAUGGUGAAAAACAAGGGCCAAUGCAUGGCUUAGCAAUUUCCACACCGUAUGUCACAAAGGACUAUCUGCAGCAAAAGAGAUUCACUGCACAGAGUGCAGGCACAAGCUAUUGUUACGAUAUCCCUGAUAUGUUUCGUCAGAUGAAUGAAAAGUGUUGGAAGGAGAUUGCAGCUACUAAUUCUGAAGUUGUUGUUCCAACCCAGCUACUGGAGUAUGUGGAAUUAGUUCUUGUGGACGAUCAUCUAGAGGAGCAGAAGAGAUUGCCAGGAGAGAAUGACGUUGGUAUGGUAGCAUGGCGCAUGACCCUUUUCACACCAGAAUAUCCUGAUGGACGUGACAUUAUUGUAAUUGCUAAUGACAUUACAUAUCUUAUUGGAUCCUUUGGGCCCCGAGAAGACUUGGUAUUCCAGUUGGCUUCAGAGUUAGCUCGAAAACUUCAGAUACCUCGAAUAUAUAUAGCUGCCAACAGUGGCGCUCGUAUUGGUCUUGCUGAGGAAGUCAAGAGCCUGUUCAGAGUUGCGUGGGAAGAUGCAGAGGAGCCUGACAAGGGGUUCAAGUAUCUUUACCUUACCACUGAAGACUUUGCUAAGGUGUCGGCAAUGAAUUCAGUGAGAGCAGUGCUUAUUGAAGAUGAGGGUGAGGCACGAUACAAGAUUACUGACAUAAUUGGAAAGGAAGACGGGCUGGGUGUAGAAAACUUAAGAGCUGCUGGAGCCAUUGCAGGUGAAACUUCCCAAGCUUACAAAGAGAUAGUUACUAUAUCAAUGGUGACCUGCCGUGCCAUUGGCAUAGGGUCUUACUUGGUGCGGCUGGGCCAACGUGUUAUUCAGAUUGAAAAUUCACAUAUCAUUCUGACAGGUUACAGUGCUCUGAACAAAUUGUUGGGCCGUGAGGUUUAUGCUUCAAAUAAUCAACUCGGUGGCACACAGAUAAUGUACAAUAAUGGUGUUUCACACAAGACUGAGUCGAGAGAUUUGGAUGGUAUCUACACAAUUCUGAAGUGGCUCUCAUAUGUUCCCAAGGAUAAGCAAUCGCCACUGCCGAUCAUUCAGCCAGUUGACCCAAUAGAGAGAGAAGUUACGUACAUGCCAACUAAGGCGCCCUAUGACCCGAGGUGGAUGCUUGCUGGAAGGCCUUCACCAACAAAUUCAGGUGAAUGGGAAUCUGGAUUCUUUGAUGCUGGCAGUUGGGAUGAGAUCAUGAGACCAUGGGCCCAGACAGUAGUCUGUGGUCGUGCACGCUUGGGAGGAAUUCCAGUUGGUGUGAUUGCUGUAGAGACACGCACAGUGGAACUGACAUUACCGGCAGAUCCCGCAAAUCUUGAUUCUGAAGCUAAGACUGUAUCGCAAGCAGGUCAAGUGUGGUUUCCAGAUUCUGCGUAUAAAACUGCGCAAGCAAUACAAGAUUUUAGCAAAGAAGAUUUGCCACUGUUUAUUUUUGCUAACUGGAGAGGUUUCUCUGGUGGAAUGAAAGAUAUGUACGAGCAGAUUGUCAAAUUUGGAGCAUAUAUUGUGGAUGGACUCCGGGAGUACCAGCAGCCCAUUAUCAUAUAUAUUCCACCAAAUGGUGAGCUCAGAGGUGGUGCCUGGGCUGUAGUUGACCCAACAAUAAAUCCUCGUCACAUGGAGAUGUAUGCUGAUCCAGAGAGUAGGGGUGGUGUGUUGGAACCAGAAGGAAUUGUGGAAAUAAAGUUCCGUAUGAAAGAUAUUGUGAAAGCAAUGCAGCGAUUAGAUCCAGUGAUUCGACAGCUUCGGUCCCAACUGCUGUCCUCUCCUAACCUUUCAAAUGAAGAGAAAGUAAUACUGGAGAACAAAAUAAGUGAAAGAGAACGUUUCCUAAGACCUAUGUACCAUCAAGUAGCAGUACAUUUCGCUGACCUUCAUGAUACUCCUGAGAGGAUGCAUGAGAAAGGUACUAUACAGGAUAUUGUGCCAUGGCGCAAAUCGCGAUGUAUUUUAUAUUGGAGAUUACGCCGGCUUUUAUUGGAGAAUGAGCUAAAAACAAAGCUUCUGGAAAUCCAGCCUGACCUCAGUGUCGGCCAGGCAGAAGCCAGAUUGCGGCGAUGGUUUAUUGAGGACAGAGGAGCCACUGAGGCAUACGUUUGGGAUAACAACAGUGCUGUGGUAGAAUGGUUGACUGAACAGCUACAGGAAGGCUCAACAUUCUGGCACAAUGUGCGCAGUAUGAAGCACGAAGCUGUCGUACAACGAAUCAAAUCUGCUCUGGCAGAAUGCCCGGACAGAGCCUUGGAAGCAGCAGUUACUGCCAUCAUGGAGACCUUAUCGCAAGAAGAGCGAGCUGAACUGGUCUGGGCUCUUUCUCAAGAAGAACCGUCACAGAAACGUCUUUCAAUUACAGGAGAUGCACCCUCUAUUUCUUCCCAGUAGUAUUACAGGAGCUCAGUGUAAUGUUUUGCUGGUUGCUGAAAGGCUGUGACUGUGCUGUGUAUUUUUCAUGGCUGAUUACCUAAUUUUUUGAACAUUGAUGGUGCAAGCAGUCUAUGACAAGUGCCACUUUGUUCAAGUGUCAUGUAUGCUGUGCUAGGAUCCUAGUUGUUAACUGGAUGUUAGAUCCUGCUGACACUUUGUCCUGCAUAGUUCUUUAUGGUGGUUAUGAAGCAGUCUUGUGUGCUCCUAAACAGUGUGUGUCUGUGGUUACUUAUAUGUAAUGAAUGGAUAUUAAAAGUGAGAAAUUGUUACAGUUGUGUUAAAAUGUACAGCAUUGAUGACGCACACUUUGUAUGUUCAAAAAAUUUUUUGCUCACUACUAUCAGACCAUACAUGCUGUAGAUGUUGCAAGUAAAUGGGAAUAUGUAUUGGGAAAAUACUGAUUGCCUGCAACACUGUGUAAGAAGUACUUUGAGAAAGUCACGCAUUAAUGAGGACUCAGCUAUUUUUGUUAACAUCAGUUCCCAUCAAGAUGGAAGUGGUAGGAUAUAAUUGUACUUGCAGUAUGUGUUUGGUUAGAUGUACAAUGUAUGAGAAUGCCUUUCAUCUUUAUGAAUCUGAAAUUGUGUUACAGGAUCUUAACCAGUCUGUUGGAUUUGCAUUGUAAGUAGCAGUUGCUAUAGUUCAACAAGAGACUUGUGUAAGCAAGUGUAUAGUUAAAUGCACAUGCAUAAUUUUGGUUUCAGUAUUUGUUACGCAGUUACUGGUUAAGAGUAUGCUUUACUAGCCCUUUGAAAUGGAAGUACAGUGAACAUACAUUUAAAAAAUUAUAACUGGUUGUACAACAAACAUGUACAGCAUUCAGUAUUCUCGUUUCCGAAGGAAACAAGAAAGGUAGAUUGUAUGUUUUCAGAACAUCUUGAUCCUUUUUCUUUCAACUCACAGUCAGUGCUGAAUGAAGUGGAACUACUUAAUUUUUGAAAAACAAGGAAUAGUUAUAAUGAUAUGGGAUGUUGUUAUAUAUUAAUAAGAAAAAUGGUACAAAAUUACAUUCCAGUCUGUCAGAAGUGUAGAAAAUGGUAUUAUUUAAAGUCCUCCUGUGUUUUCUUAAUUCUUAAAACUUGUUAAACAUGAUUUCUCUACUUAAUUAUUAUUUUGAUUCACUAGUAUAGUGCAGUACAAAGACAAAAAUAGCAUUAUCAGAAAUGAAAGGCACAAAGUUAGCAUAAAAAAGUGUGUGUUCCUUCUGUUUGUGUUUUUCCUCGGUAACAUUGUUCAGGGACCAGCUCACCAAAGUAGUAAAAAAAUGCUCUAAACUUUCAUGUUUUGUGCAGUAAGCAGUCACAUAUUCUCUAACUGUAUUUCCAAGAACUGUGUUUUGCAAACAAAGUCUUGGUACAGGGAAAAAAGGAAUGGUUUUGAGAAGAAAUGUUUUAAUGAUAUGCAAAUCCAUGAAGUGAAAGAUGAUAAUGUUUUACAAAGCUUGCAGUGAGUGGGUCAGUGAAGAGACAGACUGAGUUUCUCCACUGACAAUAGACCUCUUUUUUGCAGAAGGGAACUUUGUUUUAAAAGUGACCAAAGAAUAUGUGUGUGCGUGUGUGUGUGUGUGUGUGUGUGUGUGUGUGUGUGUGUGUGCGUGCGCGCGCAGAUGUACAUGCGGGUGUGCAGUGCACGCACGCGCAUUCAUAUUUUUCUUGUGUGUACCACAGUCAGAGGUGAAGUUAGAAGAGGUUUUCCAGUGUUGUAUUUCAUCUUCUUCAAAGAAAGGUUCACUUCAAGAUAAUAGGUGUAAAUGUGAUAGUGUAUAUUACUAUAAUCGUUGACACUUUGUUUUCUUUUUUGAAAAGUGAUAUGAAAAUAAGUGUUUCUGUGUUUCAGAUCAAGUUAUUAAAUUUAUAUUAACAACAGCUAUAUUUUACACGUGCCUAAGAAGUAUUUUUUCAGCAUGUUGUUGAUUUUCCAGAAGUUUUAGAGGGCAGUAACACCGUAGAGUCGUGUUAAUUGUUACUUAUUAAUAAAUGUGCCUUCUUUGUAGAAACAUUGAGAAGCAAAUUUUUCUUAAAUGAGGUUUGAUAAAAAGAAUAUCCUGAAUUGAUUUGAGUACAUUGCAUACUGAUGGGUUAGUUAAUUUCCACCCAUUGCUGAGCUCCCUUUUGCAACUACAGGCAUCCUUUGUCCUCUAUGAGGAAUGAAAGUCACUAUAUUUUUUAUUUUCAGCAAAAUAUCUUCAAAGUUCACUGUGGAUAUAAACUGAUUGUUUAUGACUGGGUGGUUGUUAAACAGGGAUGUUUCAAGAAAACUUGUUCUGAUGAUUGUAUUGCUUGAAUAGAUAGUCAUGACUAUAUUGAUACACAUGCCAAAGUUUGGAGUAACAGAACAUCUGAUAUGGAAAAAAAGGCACAUUCUUCACAUUGGUGUUACUGCAUUUACAUAUUUCUCCAUUUUUUACAUAACCUGAUGGAGGUGCCUGUUUCUGCCAUAUAACAAAAGUGAUAAUCACAAGACUAAAGGAAUUGUUGCACAUCAUUUGCAUAGCAGCAGUCUAUUUCAAUGUGUAGAAGUCCACUGCCAGUUUCUACUGAAUUGUUGAUUCCACACUUUUUAAGAUGUUAUUCAGGAUAUUUUUUUGUCACCUGCUUGUUCGCCAAUGAUAAACCAAAAGUUAUCUUUAUCAUGGCAGCUGUAAAUCAGAGUUCCCAAACCUAAGGCAGUUAAUGUGUUUUUUUGUGAUAUAUGUAUAUUUGUGUUCUGAAUUUGCUUGUAAAAAGACUUCAAAUAGCUGCACAAAAGUGUAAUUUAUACAACUGAAAUCUAUUUAUAUGUAUUUAGAAAUGGUUCAAUAUAUGUUAUUAUAUUUUUUGCAGUCCGAAAUAAAAAUUUAUAUAU
RNAcentral lists this unclassified non-coding RNA (9784 nucleotides) under Schistocerca americana (American grasshopper). Its description in RNAcentral is "acetyl-CoA carboxylase, transcript variant X1". The record is from RNAcentral. Lineage: Eukaryota; Metazoa; Arthropoda; Insecta; Orthoptera; Acrididae.